RNAcentral lists this ribosomal RNA (1471 nucleotides) under uncultured bacterium. Its description in RNAcentral is "bacterial SSU rRNA". It matches the Rfam family "Bacterial small subunit ribosomal RNA". The record is from RNAcentral.
GGUUUGAUUCUGGCUCAGGACGAACGCUGGCGGCACGCUUAACACAUGCAAGUCGAACGAGAGAAGAGAAGCUUGCUUUUCUGAUCUAGUGGCGGACGGGUGAGUAACACGUGAGCAAUCUGCCUUUCAGAGGGGGAUACCGAUUGGAAACGAUCGUUAAUACCGCAUAACAUAAUUGAACCGCAUGAUUUGAUUAUCAAAGAUUUAUCGCUGAAAGAUGAGCUCGCGUCUGAUUAGCUAGUUGGUAAGGUAACGGCUUACCAAGGCGACGAUCAGUAGCCGGACUGAGAGGUUGAUCGGCCACAUUGGGACUGAGACACGGCCCAGACUCCUACGGGAGGCAGCAGUGGGGAAUAUUGCACAAUGGAGGAAACUCUGAUGCAGCGAUGCCGCGUGAGGGAAGAAGGUUUUAGGAUUGUAAACCUCUGUCUUCAGGGACGAAAAAUGACGGUACCUGAGGAGGAAGCUCCGGCUAACUACGUGCCAGCAGCCGCGGUAAUACGUAGGGAGCGAGCGUUGUCCGGAAUUACUGGGUGUAAAGGGAGCGUAGGCGGGAUCGCAAGUCAGAUGUGAAAACUAUGGGCUUAACCCAUAAACUGCAUUUGAAACUGUGGUUCUUGAGUGAAGUAGAGGUAAGCGGAAUUCCUAGUGUAGCGGUGAAAUGCGUAGAUAUUAGGAGGAACAUCAGUGGCGAAGGCGGCUUACUGGGCUUUAACUGACGCUGAGGCUCGAAAGCGUGGGGAGCAAACAGGAUUAGAUACCCUGGUAGUCCACGCCGUAAACGAUGAUUACUAGGUGUGGGGGGACUGACCCCUUCCGUGCCGCAGCAAACGCAAUAAGUAAUCCACCUGGGGAGUACGACCGCAAGGUUGAAACUCAAAGGAAUUGACGGGGGCCCGCACAAGCAGUGGAGUAUGUGGAUUAAUUCGAAGCAACGCGAAGAACCUUACCAGGUCUUGACAUCGUAUGCAUAGCUCAGAGAUGAGUGAAAUCUCUUCGGAGACAUAUAGACAGGUGGUGCAUGGUUGUCGUCAGCUCGUGUCGUGAGAUGUUGGGUUAAGUCCCGCAACGAGCGCAACCCUUACUGUUAGUUGCUACGCAAGAGCACUCUAGCAGGACUGCCGUUGACAAAACGGAGGAAGGUGGGGAUGACGACAAAUCAUCAUGCCCCUUAUGACCUGGGCCUCACACGUACUACAAUGGCUGUCAACAGAGGGAAGCAAAGCCGCGAGGUGGAGCAAACCCCUAAAAGCAGUCUUAGUUCGGAUUGUAGGCUGCAACCCGCCUACAUGAAGUCGGAAUUGCUAGUAAUCGCAGAUCAGCAUGCUGCGGUGAAUACGUUCCCGGGCCUUGUACACACCGCCCGUCACGCCAUGGGAGUCGGUAACACCCGAAGCCUGUAGUCUAACCGCAAGGAGGACGCAGUCGAAGGUGGGAUUGAUGACUGGGGUGAAGUCGUAACAAGGUAUCC